CCCGAGGUUGUCGAAGCUUCAAGGCUGGUGAAAUAUCACCAUAAACCACCAUCGGCGUCGAUUUUAGCUUAUGGAAUCUCUCGAAUUCCUUAUCUGAAGGCGAAGAUGAUAUGUUUGGACAACAACUAAUGGAUGAACUUUGGAGAGAUACGAGCUGAGUAAUGCAUUCCAUUAACGAUAUUAAACAUGGGGAGUUUUGAGAGAAGAAGUCUUUCGAGGGAUGCAGGGCAAUCUGCGACAGCUCAUCAUGGAGGGAGGCGAGGCUUUUCCAGAAGUUGGAUUGCUCCGACGAGAACAACCAGUCGCAGUGACGGACGUGCAGUUCUGCCUAGCUCCAUGAUAUGCCCUCUCCUCGAACCAGCCUCUGAUGGAUUCCUUUGAUAGACGCCUCGAGGACACCGUUUUCCCAAGGAAUGGCUUGUCUCACCAACUCUACUACUUCACCUCCUCGGCUGCUCCUCCAUCCUCGUCAAAAAAAUAAAUACCGCUGGGAUCAAUUGAGAAAUUGGAUAAUUUAAAAUUUUAGUGCAUGCAAAAUUUGCCUACAUAAAUCAAUCAUCAUUGUGUUUGAAUCUAACUAAUAUCAAUUCCAUCAAAAAACACUUGAGCUUCUAAGUUAUAAGUCAAACCUAGUCAAUAUAACUCAAUUCUUCUGAUUAGAACAUAGAAGUCAAACACAAACUUGAGUCAAAGGGUUAAUCUUUUAAAUUAUGGGUCAAGGCUAUUAUAUGUAAUCCGAUUAUUUCAAUCAUUGUCGAUACGAAAAUAUAAUCUCUUACACAUGAAUAUUUCCAGCAAAGACAUUAUGAAGAUAGGAACAUUUUUACCUGACAAUUAAUUGCUCAAAUUUUUUUAUAUUUUGAUACUGUUAUCAUAUUUCUUAAUUUUGCAUGAAAUUACAAGUUAUAUCAUUAUGUAAAUUUAAAUGCACCACAACGAGAUCAAUUUUGAAGAUAUCAUCUCUUUUCUUCAACUUCUGAAGCUCUCUCUCUCUCUCUCUCUCUCUCUCUCUCCAGAUUGUGUAUAUCACACAGAGUCAACCUUCCAUAAUUGCUUGACAAGCAACCACCUGGUGUCCCAACUGCUUGUUUUGUGUGUGUUCAAUGGCAAGAGACACUCCAAUAUGCCUACAUUUCGAUCCCGUGGGUUUGAGUUGCAGAGACCCAUCCAGCAUUAUGCUCUUUGGGACUGUUGAGGAUUAAAUAGUUAGACAUUGGGCUUCUUAACCCACACUUGAUCUGCAUUGGAAAUGGUAGCCAACUUGAUGAAUUCAUGUGGUGGAUGCACAGAAUCUGUUCGAUGAAAUGCCUUUUAGGAUACAAAGUUGACGGAUACAUUGAAACUGGAAUCUGAAGAUCAUAGCUGUUAAAUUUGUUUCGCAGAGCUCAACUCCAGAAGAAGAACAAAAGCAUUUGCCAGAAUAACAUCUAUAAUAAUGAAUUUGUCACCAGGAGAGUAUUCAAGAGAAAGUUUUGCCCAGUUUCAUUGGUUAAGAUGAAGGAUGUCCUUUGAAGCACUUCAGAUUCAAUGAAAGAAAUUCGAGGUCAUUGAGAACUCACAAAGAAAGCAACAGUAACAGGAGGCUGAAAUCUAUUCAUAAAUUUCAAUGGUGAAGCAAGCUCUUCUGUUGAUCAUUGGUUAAGAUGGAAGACAUGCAUAGUUAAAGCUGUAAAAGUAGAGGUUAUUGGUCAUUGGUGAAGUGAGCAGAAGAUUUACCUCCGCUCGACACGGUUCUAAUUCAUUCUUCUGUGCCUCCCUGCAUCCCGACAACAGCACCAGAAAUAAUCCAGUUUGGAAGCACUGGAGGUCUCCCUAUGGUUUCUGUAUAGGUUUCAAUUAGUUCAACAGAAAUACAAGUUACAACAUGAAGAAGAAAAGAUUAAGAGUUGAAGCGACUCAAAACUGUGCAGUCGAAGACAACAGCGUCACAAGACAUGAGGUUGUCGAUUGUCUUAGUAUAAGACUGGUGCUUGCAGAUGAAAAGAACAUCACCAUCCUUAAUAGCGAAAGAGCCUCUGCUCUCCUCCACCUGAGUCUGGACAGCUGCAGCAGAUAUGAAGGCCUCUCCUGGGAUCGUAGACCAUAUGCUCCUGUUAGGCUGAGAUCGGUGCGAGAUCGAAAGGCAGCCACCAUUUCUGCAGCUCCAAGCAAGCUGGAAAUCCUCCCCAAUCUGAUAACUCUGGUCUUGUGAAAUCUUGUGUGGACUGAAGGAGAGUCCUCCAUGGAUGAAAGGCAGGCACUUUAGGGUGGAAGGAAAGGGAUUGUUGAUGUGCUUGUGGUGCUUCUUGGAGAUCCUCAACUCUGGCAUGGUUGGCUAAUUGGGAAGUGAUGCCCUCCUCCUGUAGGUUGAAAGAUUCAGAGAUCCAACUGCCUCUAUAUAUACAAAUAGCAAAUUAAUCCUGAAUAUUCUGGUGGAGCCCAGAUCAUCACUAUCUUGAGCAAAUUCACCAUAGAGACCUUUUCUUGUGUCAGAUGCAUUUACAGUUGUCCUAUUUCUUCUUUUCCUUAAUUGUAUUUCUUUUAUAUAAAGCAUCUAUUAUCAUUAUGUAUUUGACAAAUUCCCAACUAUUUUCAUGUUCUUUGUCAUGUAGAAAAGUGUUGUAUUUUGUUCA
Musa acuminata AAA Group (dessert banana) is the source of this 2612-nucleotide long non-coding RNA. RefSeq lists it as uncharacterized. The record is from RefSeq and is a predicted model, not a curated record. NCBI's taxonomy places the organism in Eukaryota, Viridiplantae, Streptophyta, Magnoliopsida, Zingiberales, Musaceae. The transcript has 5 exons.